RNA transcript from Homo sapiens (human), 2223 nucleotides. It is a transcript of the gene named transcription factor A, mitochondrial pseudogene 1, with no coding region annotated. The record is from RefSeq and is marked provisional. The transcript has a single exon. NCBI's taxonomy places the organism in Eukaryota, Metazoa, Chordata, Mammalia, Primates, Hominidae.
UCUCGCGAGUGGCAGGCAUGAUAACAAACUCCGGAGGGUCACAGGCAGGUUCGAGUUGCCAUUGCUGGGGUGGUUCUGUCGUGCCAGGAGGCUCUCCGAGACUGGUUCCUGGUCACUGCCUGGUCUGCUGGUGUGAAGCACGUGGGGUGUGCUGAGGGCCCUGGGAAGGUCCUGGCGGAGCUGUGUACCAGCUGUGGAAGUCGACCGCGCUUCCCCUUCAGUUUUAUGUAUUUAUGGAAAUGGUUUUCGCCUGUCUUGGCAAGUUAUCCAAAGAAACCUGUAACUUCUUACCUUUGAUUUUCUAAAGAACAACUACCCAUAUUUAAAGCUCAGAACCCAGAUGCAAAAAAUACAGAACUAAUUAGAAGAAUCGCUGAGCAUUGGACGGAACUUCCCAAUUCAGAGAAAAAAAAUAUAUGAAGAUGCUUAUAGGGUGGACUGGCAGGCAUACAAAGAAGAGAUAAGCAGAAUUCAAGAACAGCUAACUCCAAGUCAGAUUAUGUCUUUGGAAAAAGAAAUCAUGCAGGAACAUUUAAAAAGGAAAGCUUUAAUAAAAAAGAGAGUUAACACUGCUUGGAAAACCAAAAUGAUCUCGUUCAGCUUAUAACAUUUAUGUAGCUGAAAGCUUCCAAGAAGCUAAGGAUGGUUCACCGCAGGCAAAGCUGAAGACUGUAAAUGAAAACUGGAAAAAUCUGUCUGGUUCUCAAAAGAAAGUAUAUAUUCAACUUGCUAAAGAUGAUAAAAUUCAUUAUUAUAAUGAAAUGAAGUCUUGGGAAGAACAAAUGAUUGAAGUUGGACGAAAGGAUUUUCUACGUCGCAAAAUAAAGCAACCACCUUUAAAAGAUGGCACUGAGAAGUGUUAGAAGUUCACAAUGGAUAGGCACAAGAAACCAGCUGGGUCUCAACGCCUGAAGCUAUCGUAAAAUUAGAAAGGAUAAAGUCGGUAAACCUUUUAUAUUCAAUUUCUUUUUCUUCAGGUCAUGGACUUCUGCCAGUGUAAUACUUGCUUUGGAAAACCCAGAUAAAGGUUUAUGCAAAAUGUAUUUUGUGUUUAGGAACUACUGAGGAUCAGAGUAAUCCAUGCAAAUGUGAAUCAUUUUACCUUUGAUAAAGGUAAAUCAGACUAUGAGGUUUUUUUUUACACAGGAUCAUGACUAUGGAAAGAGUAUUCUUGUUGCCCUAUAUUAUGGAAGCAGGAGUUUCCUUUUCAAAAUUGUUACAAAUUGUAGAAGCCACAGUGUUCUGUGAUACAAUUGUGCAUUUUUCAAAAAGCAGCCAGAAUUCGUCUAGGUAAAUUCCAGUUCCUAGGUAUAAUUAAUAUUAUAUUCAGAGUUGAUGGUUAUACACAUAAGUGAUGGCUGGUUUUAGUUGCAACUUUUUAUAAAAGGGACUGAGAAAUUUAUAAACCUUUUUCUCACUUUUUUUCUAAAGUAAAAACUAAUAAAUUAUGUACCAGAUCUAUGCAUAUUAUUUUAUGUUGCAUAGGAUAAACAUUCUAAUCUUUAACUUUACAUUGCCUAAUUAUAUAUUUUAAGAUGAAACAUUUGUUUUACAGCUUUCCCCCUACCCUUUUUUUUUUUUUUCUGGAGACAGAGUCUCGCCCUGUCGCCCAGGCUGGAGUGCAGUGGUGUGAUCUGGGCUCACUGCAACCUCCGCCUCCCAGGUUCCAGCCAUUCUCCUGCCUCAGCCUGCCGGGUAGCUGGGACUAAGGCGUGCACCACCGUGCCUGGCUAAUUUUUGUAUUUUUCAGUAGAGACGGGGUUUCACCAUAUUGGCCAGGCUGGUCUCAAACUCCUGACCUCGUGAUCCUCCUGCCUUGGCCUCCGAAAGUGCUGGGAUUACAGGCAUGAGCCACCAUGCCUGGUGCCUUUCCCUUUUUUUAAGUAAGGAAAUAUAUUUUUUUCUGAAUUAUUUUCUCUCAUGCGAGUAUAUUGAUCCAGAAAGAAAACUUGCAUUGUAUAUAUUUUAAAAUGAGAAAUCUAAAAAAAAGAGAAGUAUCCAAAGUCUCUGGAAUUUGAAACACUUUGCAUAACGUAUUAAAGCCUGUAUAAGAGACAGCCAACUAUGGCCUGUGGACCAAAUCCAGCCUGCUGCCUGCUUUCUGUGUCCUGUGAGCUAGGAAUUGUGUUUAUAAUUUUAAAUGCUUUGUUUUUAAAGACUUUUAUGAUACAUGAAAAUUAACAUGAAUAUUUAGUGUUCAUAAAUAAAGUUUAUUGGAACACA